ACUAUUUUGGCAGAAAAAAUGUGAUGAUUUUAGAAGUCAUUAAUAUAUAAUUAUUUAUAUAUUUAGUA
This 68-nucleotide transfer RNA is filed under the name Bhutanitis thaidina. RNAcentral describes it as "tRNA-Leu". Lineage: Eukaryota; Metazoa; Arthropoda; Insecta; Lepidoptera; Papilionidae. The record is from RNAcentral.